This 39-nucleotide ribosomal RNA is filed under the name Pestalotiopsis osyridis. RNAcentral's name for it is "partial 28S ribosomal RNA". The record is from RNAcentral. Lineage: Eukaryota; Fungi; Ascomycota; Sordariomycetes; Amphisphaeriales; Sporocadaceae.
UUGACCUCGGAUCAGGUAGGAAUACCCGCUGAACUAACU